AGGCUCGUCCGCUCAGGGUUAGUCGGGACCUAAGCCGAGGCCGAAAGGCGUAGGCGAUGGACAACAGGUUGAUAUUCCUGUACCACCUCCUCACCAUUUGAGCAAUGGGGGACGCAGGAGGAUAGGGUAAGCGCGGUAUUGGAUAUCCGCGUCCAAGCAGUUAGGCUGGGAAAUAGGCAAAUCCGUUUCCCGUAAGGCUGAGCUGUGAUGGCGAGCGAAAUAUA
RNAcentral lists this ribosomal RNA (224 nucleotides) under Bacillus licheniformis. RNAcentral describes it as "partial 23S ribosomal RNA". It matches the Rfam family "Bacterial large subunit ribosomal RNA", at positions 1362 to 1582 of the family's 2925-position model. The record is from RNAcentral. Lineage: Bacteria; Bacillati; Bacillota; Bacilli; Caryophanales; Bacillaceae.